RNAcentral lists this ribosomal RNA (253 nucleotides) under uncultured bacterium. Its description in RNAcentral is "partial 16S ribosomal RNA". It matches the Rfam family "Bacterial small subunit ribosomal RNA", at positions 524 to 776 of the family's 1533-position model. The record is from RNAcentral.
AACGUAGGAGACGAGCGUUAUCCGGAUUUACUGGGCGUAAAGCGUGUGCAGGCGGUUCGGCAAGUUGGAUGUGAAAUCUCCCGGCUCAACUGGGAGAGGUCGUUCAAUACUACCAAACUUGAGGUCAUCAGAGGAAAGCGGAAUUCCGGGUGUAGUGGUGAAAUGCGUAGAUAUCCGGAGGAACACCAGUGGCGAAGGCGGCUUUCUGGGAUGAUCCUGACGCUCAGACACGAAAGCUAGGGGAGCGAACGGG